This 71-nucleotide transfer RNA is filed under the name Litoreibacter sp. RNAcentral describes it as "tRNA-Ile". It matches the Rfam family "tRNA". From Rfam's summary of the family: Transfer RNA (tRNA) molecules are approximately 80 nucleotides in length. The record is from RNAcentral. Lineage: Bacteria; Pseudomonadati; Pseudomonadota; Alphaproteobacteria; Rhodobacterales; Roseobacteraceae.
GGUGAUGUAGCUCAUCGGUAGAGCACUAGACUCAUAAUCUAGCGGUAGCAGGUUCGAAUCCUGCCAUCUCU